This 496-nucleotide ribosomal RNA is filed under the name uncultured bacterium. RNAcentral's name for it is "partial 16S ribosomal RNA". It matches the Rfam family "Bacterial small subunit ribosomal RNA", at positions 28 to 506 of the family's 1533-position model. The record is from RNAcentral.
GAUGAACGCUGGCGGCGUGCCUAAUACAUGCAAGUCGAGCGAACAGACGAGGAUCUUGCUCCUCUGACGUUAGCGGCGGACGGGUGAGUAACACGUGGAUAACCUACCUAUAAGACUGGGAUAACUUCGGGAAACCGGCGCUAAUACCGGAUAAUAUAUUGAACCGCGUGGUUCAAUAGUGAAAGACGGUUUUGCUGUCACUUAUAGCUGGAUCCGCGCCGCAUUAGCUAGUUGGUAAGGUAACGGCUUACCAAGGCAACGCUGCGUAGCCGACCUGAGAGGGUGAUCGCCCACACUGAGAGUGAGACACGGUACAGGCUCCGAGGGGAGGCAGCAGUAGGGAAUGUUCCGCAGUGGGCGAAAGCCUGACGGAGCAACGCCGCGUGAGUGAUGAAGGGCCUCGGAUCGGAAAACUCUGUUAGUAGGGAAGAACAAAUGUGUAAGUAACUAUGCACGUCUUGACGGUACCUAAUCAGAAAGCCACGGCUAACUACGU